AAACAAAAAUAAGACAAAAACAAGGCCCUAGAAAAAGAACCAGAACAAAAAGAUUAAGACCACAAAUACAUCCACUCCCUACAAAGAUCCAAAAAGAAAACAUCCUCAAAUCCUUUCGACCUAUAAACCCAGGAAACUUAAAAAUGCCAAAGGGAAUUAAAGGGAGCAGAAGGAAAA
Long non-coding RNA from Humulus lupulus (European hop), 177 nucleotides. RefSeq lists it as uncharacterized. Lineage: Eukaryota; Viridiplantae; Streptophyta; Magnoliopsida; Rosales; Cannabaceae. The record is from RefSeq and is a predicted model, not a curated record. The transcript is spliced from 2 exons.